AGGACUGGCAGUAGCUUCUGCUCAGAGUCAAAUUCCAGGCUGUUGGGGUCAGUUCGAAUAAUGAAGGGAGCUUCAGUCUGAAGCCAUGGGAGAAUGCUCUGAACAUCUCACGUGAAAAUUUUUUGCCUGUUUUACACCACCCCUCUAGGAAUACUACUCCAAGAAAACAAAAGGGAUGCCAGGAAUGGACUAUUAACUUUUUCGUGUUGGGCCCCUUCUGGUCUGCUAAUCAUGGAAGGCAUGCA
Haemorhous mexicanus (house finch) is the source of this 245-nucleotide long non-coding RNA. RefSeq lists it as uncharacterized. The transcript has 3 exons. NCBI's taxonomy places the organism in Eukaryota, Metazoa, Chordata, Aves, Passeriformes, Fringillidae. The record is from RefSeq and is a predicted model, not a curated record.